This 5939-nucleotide long non-coding RNA is filed under the name Sorghum bicolor (sorghum). RNAcentral's name for it is "long non-coding RNA (SBIC_LNC003953)". Lineage: Eukaryota; Viridiplantae; Streptophyta; Magnoliopsida; Poales; Poaceae. The record is from RNAcentral.
CACCUCGCCACUGCACCGUCUCGCCACUGCGCCAGUAGCCUUUCUUCACCGCCACCUUAGGUAUAAUUAACCUCCCUCCCUUAUCGUUGUCAUACAUAGGUCGCGUAACCCAAUUAGGCGUCUCCCAUCCGAAAGAGAUACGGCCGUUGGUAUGCGUGUCUGUGCAUAUUCGUCGGCCGUAUCUGUUUUGGAUUGUCCAUGUUUUUUGGACAGCCUGUGGAUGCGUAGAUGGUUAGCUUCCAUGUUUUGCUCCCGUCCGAGUCGGAGUUUCGGCAGCACCUCCCCGUUGUUCUCCGGAUACACACUCUCCUUGCUAGGACGUGUAUCGGGAGAACAGCUGGGAGGUGCUGCCGAAAUUCUGACUCGGACGGGAGUAGAACAUAGAAGCUAACCCGUCUACGCAUCCACGGGUGGGAUUAGGACAUAUCCUUCACCUAUUAGAAGGUAGGAACGUCAUGUAGAUGCAAUUGUUGGUUUUAUUACUCGCUUACACAUGUAUAUGACAGAGGAUGGCUAACCGUGACUGGAUGUACACGGGCUUUGCAAGUAAGAGUGAUGAAUGGAUUAGGGGGGUGGAACAUUUCGUGAAUGAAGCAUUUGACCCAGCUGUUGCUAAAGGGUCAAAACGGAUGCUGUGUCCCUGUAGUGACUGUAAGAACUCAAAAAGAAAAUUGCCCAGAGAGAUGUGGAAAGAUAUUCACAAGAAUGGAUUAAUGCCAAACUAUACCCGCUGGACCUUGCAUGGUGAGCGUGAUCUUAUGACAGCGAAGGAUGUGAGAGCACGCCUCGAGUAUUUUGAUGAAGAUGCCGGGGUGGCCGACAUGAUGGUAGACAUCAACGAGGCAUGUGACAAUGAAGGGUCGGUGGAGGAGGAUCCAGAGGAAACUGCAAAGGCGUUCUACUUGAUGAUGGAUUCGGCACAAAAGCCCCUUCACGAGAAUACAACAAUGUCGCAACUCGAUGGCAUUGGACGCCUUUUAGCGUUGAAGUCACAGUUGAGCUUGAGCCGAGAUGGCUUCGAUCUCGUGUUGAAAGUUUUGGGCACAAUGCUUCCAGAGGGUCACACGCUGCCGAAGAACACUUAUGAGUCACAGAAACUCCUUGGUGCACUUAAGAUGCCGUAUGAGUCUAUCCAUUCUUGUCCUAAAGGGUGCGUCCUAUUUAGGGGAGACGACCUUAAGGAAGCAACACACUGUCCAAAGUGCAGAGCCUCUAGGUAUGUGGAGGUAGAGGGUAGUGAUGGCAGCAAGAAACAGUCUAAGAUCCCCGAGAAGGUCCUACGGUAUCUUCCUGUCCUACCGAGGCUCCAACGGAUGUACAUGACAGAGGAGUCCGCGAAACAGAUGACAUGGCACAAGAAAGGCAAGAGAUAUAGUGACAAGAUGGUACAUCCAUCGGAUGGUGAAGCAUGGAAGUACUUCGAUGACCAGCAUCCUAGCAAAGCGUCGGAGGCUCGGAAUGUACGUGUAGCCUUUGCAACAGAUGGGUUCAACCCGUAUGGAAUGAUGGCGGCCCCGUACACAUGCUGGCCUGUGUUCGUGAUCCCCCUCAAUCUCCCCCCCGGCGUCAUGUUCGAUCCCAAGAAUGUGUUAUUGUCGCUGAUAAUACCUGGACACCCGGGCAGCAAUAUGGGUGUUUUCAUGCAGCCACUGUGGGACGAAUUGCAACAUGCUUGGGAAAAGGGGGUACGAACUUACGACCGAGCUACAAAGCAGAACUUCACAAUGCACGUGUGGUACCAGUAUUCAAUGCAUGACUUCCUAGCGUAUGGCAUAUUCAGCGGGUGGUGUGUUCAUGGGAAGUUCCCUUGCCCAGUAUGCAAGGCCUCUGUGAUGUUCACCUGGCUGACCAAGGGUGGCAAGUAUUCUUCGUAUGACAAGCAUCGUCAAUUUCUAGAUAACGACCAUGAGUUCAGACGAGACAUCAAGCACUUCACGAAAGGUGUUGAAGUCACAGACAACAUUCCUCAGAUUAUGAGCGGUGCUCAGGUCCUUGCCGAGUUAGAGGCCCUCGAAAUUGAUGACAAAGUUGGUUUUAAGAAGUAUGGUGUAGAGCACAUGUGGACUCAUAUAUCGGGCUUGACUAGGCUUCCCUACUUCAAGGACCUUCUUCUUCCACACAACAUCGAUGUAAUGCACACAGAAAAGAAUGUCGCUGAGGCACUCUGGGCAACACUCAUGGACAUAAAGGAAAAGUCAAAGGACAACGUAAAGGCUAGACUAGACAUGGAACAGAUGUGCGAUAGACCAAAGCUAGUGAUGAAGACCCCUGCUCCCGGCAAGAAUUGGAGAAGAGGCCCGGCCGAUUACAUCCUAAAAAGGACUGAUAGGAAGGAAGUACUGGAGUGGAUCAAGGCGUUAAGGUUCCCCGAUGGGUACGCAGCGAAUCUGAGUAGGGGAGUGAACUUGAAGACUUUGAAAGUCUUAGGGAUGAAGAGUCAUGACUUCCACAUAUGGAUUGAGCGGCUACUUCCUGCGAUGACCCGUGGAUACCUCCCCGAUCCAGUGUGGCGUGUCCUAGCAGAGUUGAGCUAUUUCUUCCGACAGCUUUGUGCUAGAGAGUUAUCUCGGGCAGUGAUUCUUGACCUGGAGCGUGUUGCACCUCUGUUGCUCUGCAAGUUGGAGAUGAUCUUUCCACCUGGCUUUUUUCUGCCGAUGCAACAUCUGAUUUUGCACCUACCGCGUGAGGCACGGCUGGGGGGUCCCGUGCAGGCCCGUUGGUGCUAUCCAAUCGAGAGGUGUCUAAAGAUUCUUCGGAAAAAGUGUAGAAAUAAAGCCAAAAUUGAGGCUUCUGUGGCAGAGGCAUUCAUAGUGGAGGAGGUGUCAAACUUCACAACGACGUACUAUACUGAGAACCUUCCCACCGGCGCACCCCCUCGUUACAACGCCGAUGAGAGUUCAUCGACCCUGAGUUUAUUCAAAGGGCAACUUGGAAGAGGAAGCGCAGGUACCCACAAACAGUUGCGAGAUCAUGAGUGGCGCACUAUCAUGCUCUACGUGUUGAUGAACCUUGACGAAGUGGAGCCUUAUCGAAUGUAAGUUCUCAAUGAUCUUGUUACAUACGCCGUCAAUAUCCUCUACAUAUCAAAAGAACAGUGAGCUUGUCUCUUGUUUUUUCAGAAAGUUUGUGAAAGAACAAUGGAAAGGGAGAAGGGCUCCCACCAUCCAAGAAGAAGACAAUCUUCUCAAAAAUGCCGUGCCCGAUUUUAUUUCUUGGUUCCGUACAAAGGUACCAUCCAACCUACCUCGUUUCAACUUUGAGAUUCCACUUUGCUCCUAGGAGGAGUAAUGUAACAAUCUACCUGGCCUCACCUUGCAGGCCCGCACGGAUGCAGAAAUGGAUGGUGAAUUGAAACAGGUUGCACGGGGCUUUGCUACAAGGGUAAAGUCAUUCACCGUUUAUGAUGUGAAUGGCUAUCGCUUUCGCACGAGAAGGCACGAGGAGAGUCGGCCCAACCUAAAGACCACUUGCACAGGAGUUCGUACACCCGGCAACGAUGACCGUGACUAUUACGGCAUAGUCGAAGAAAUAUAUGAGCUUGACUUUGAGGGCCCCCAAGCUCUUAAACCAGUGGUGUUCAAAUGCCAUUGGUUCGAUCCUGAGGUCAUCAGAAGAGCUGAUGACAUUGGGCAAGUCGAAAUUCGAAAAGAUUCCAUCUAUAAAGGAGAAGAUGUCUAUAUUGUGGCUCAACAGGCCACGCAAGUUUAUUAUCUCCCAUGGGCGUGCCAAAAAGACAAGGAUCUUGAGGGUUGGUACCUUGUGCACUUGGUAUCGCCACGUGGUAAAGCGCCCCUCCCAAACGAUGAUGACUACAACUAUGACCCACAAGAUAAUAGCGGAGAGUUCUAUCAACCUGAGGGGCUAGACGGGCGAUUGGAGAUAGACAUUCUUUCGCUAAUGGGCAUGGAAGGCGACAAUGACGUCGAUGAGGACGAGGGUGAAGUAGUGCAAGAUGCUAAGGACUUAAUAAUGCUUGAGGAAUGGAGGGCUCAACGUGAUAGACAUGUUGUUGAGGACGAUGGAGUUGGUGUUGAAAAUGGAUAUGUCGAGGACCUUAGAGAGCUCGACAAUAUUGACAGUGAUGAUGACUAUAGUGACGAUGAGCCAACCACCGCCGUUCGUGGAGAUAAUUUCUAAUUCAUGUAAUAUUGUAUUUUUAUAGUUAUUCAUUUGCAAUUAUGUUUUGUUCAUUUUGCAUAUCUUUGUAAGUACUCCUUGUUUAAUUGUACUAAUUGGUUUUAGCUUUGUCAUUGCAGGUACAGGACAAAAUGCCGGGCGGAAGGCGACCGCGGCGAAAGGGGGUCGCCUCGACCUUCAUGAGGCACAACGACACCGACGACACCGACGACACGGACCUCCAGCCUCAGCUGGAGUCGUCCAUGAGCAGGGACAAUGGACGAGGCCAGGUCACGGCGUCUUCUAGCCCGAUGGCCCAGCCCGAGGAGGAGCACUUCGAGGGCGACCACGUCGAGGACGACGAUGAGGAGCUAGUUGUUGAGGCGGCGAGUUCGUCUAGCUCGAGCAAGCUCUACGCGCGGGGUAUCACGCGCCUCCCUGAUCGGCCGCCCGUGCGACACGCCCGAGCGUUGAUCACACCUUGCGGUGAUAGGUAAGUAACCAUUCAUGUUUUUACGAUUAAUUCAUAUGACAUGUUGAAAAUCGAACUUCAGACUAACAUUUUUUCGUAAUGCCUCGUGCAGGAACUUUGUCAAGGUGGAUGCGACGGAGUCACGCCAUAUCACUAGCAUACAGGGCCUCCUUAUUAAGAAGCACUACCCCGGCUUGGUCGAGCACAAGGGGAAAAGGGAGCCACCCUUUUCCUGGCCGCACUUCUCUAGCGUCGUGGCAAACGACACCACUCUUGCGCAGGUCAUCAAGGCCGAGUUCUGGGUAAGUCUUUAGUACUAUGCAUUCAAUGGAUGUUUUUGAAAUAAUGAAAUAAAACAUAUAUGAUGUUUGUAUGUAGGAGUGGUUCGUGUGCGAGGAGGGGAAAGAGGCCGAGGCGGCAAAAAUCCAGGACAAGGUCUGCAGAGAGCGGCUGAAGGACAUGUACUCCGAGGCGCACAUCCAGUGCGUCAUCUCCUACCACCAUGAGGUGCUUGGCCAGAAGGUGACAAAGAAACAUGCCAGGGAGAUGAUCAUGUUCCCCGACACUGAUAUCACCAGAGAGCAGUACAUGCAGGUAAGUAGGGAACAUUUAUUCUGCCUUUAAAAAUAAGUAUGAAACAUUAAUUCUCAUUCAUCUUCUGACAUAUCAAAUGCACGUUGUCAUGCAGUUUCCUGCUGAUUGGUGCAAAUCACACACCGACUGUUGGGCUCAGAUUGUGGACUCGUGGCAGAGGCCGGAGGCGUACGUGGAGCGUAGAAGGAGACGGGAGAACCGCCUGGCUGCGACGAGAGGGGCGUCACACCACCAGGGGAGCGUGCCCCUCCCAGGGUACAUGGACACAUAUGUAUGUUUCUUUUUUUUGUUUGUUUAUUUAUUUUUGCUAACGCUUUAUUCUCAUUACGUUUAAUCAACCUUGUUUGUGUUUUUCUCGCAGCGCAAGACCCACGGCAACGUGCCCAUCAGCGAGUAUGUUGGGUACGCCCUGGCUAACAAGGGGCGAGCGUCGGAUCCGAACAACGUCUACAACCCACAGGACGGGCCCGAUGCAUACACCAACACUGCCGCCUACGAGAAGAUGUCCGCGUACGCCACUGCAGCUCGCACGCGCCAUGGGGAUGACUUCGACCUUACCACCGAGCCACUGGACACGGACUUGCUCAUGAGGACGGGAGGAGGGAAGCAGCACGGCCGGUACAUGAUUGCCCACAGCGCAAUCAACCCGGCCACCGUACCCACGCUCCGCGAGGUUCGGCAGGGGAGCAGCUCGACCUCCGACGUCCCCAUACGGCCUCGUCAGCCGAGCUCCGUGCAGCAGAUAGCUACGAUGCAG